AAUAUUGGACAAUGGGCGCAAGCCUGAUCCAGCCAUGCCGCGUGAGUGAUGAAGGCCUUAGGGUUGUAAAGCUCUUUCAGCGGGGAAGAUAAUGACGGUACCCGCAGAAGAAGCCCCGGCUAACUUCGUGCCAGCAGCCGCGGUAAUACGAAGGGGGCUAGCGUUGUUCGGAAUUACUGGGCGUAAAGGGCGCGUAGGCGGACUGUUAAGUCAGGGGUGAAAUCCCGGGGCUCAACCCCGGAACUGCCUUUGAUACUGGUGGUCUUGAGUUCGGGAGAGGUGAGUGGAAUUCCGAGUGCAGAGGUGAAAUUCGUAGAUAUCGGGAGGAACACCAGUGGCGAAGGCGGCGCUCUGGGCUGGAACUGACACUGAGGAGCGAAAGCGUGGGGAGCAAACAGG
RNAcentral lists this ribosomal RNA (399 nucleotides) under uncultured bacterium. Its description in RNAcentral is "partial 16S ribosomal RNA". It matches the Rfam family "Bacterial small subunit ribosomal RNA", at positions 360 to 776 of the family's 1533-position model. The record is from RNAcentral.